This 332-nucleotide ribosomal RNA is filed under the name uncultured Nitrospirota bacterium. Its description in RNAcentral is "bacterial SSU rRNA". It matches the Rfam family "Bacterial small subunit ribosomal RNA", at positions 29 to 351 of the family's 1533-position model. The record is from RNAcentral. Lineage: Bacteria; Pseudomonadati; Nitrospirota.
AACGAACGCUGGCGGCGCGCCUAACACAUGCAAGUCGAACGAGAAUCCGGGGCAACCUGGUAGUAAAGUGGCAAACGGGUGAGGAAUACAUGGGUAACCUGCCCUUGAGAAGGGAAUAACCCGCCGAAAGGUGAGCUAAUACCCUAUACGCUCCUUUUUCUACGGAAAGGGAAGGAAAGCUAAGCCGUGGGCUUGGCGCUCAAGGAGGGGCUCAUGUCCUAUCAGCUUGUUGGUGGGGUAACGGCCUACCAAGGCUACGACGGGUAGCUGGUCUGAGAGGAUGAUCAGCCACACUGGCACUGAGAUACGGGCCAGACUCCUACGGGAGGCAG